AGUGAACGCUGGCGGUAGGCCUAACACAUGCAAGUCGAACGGCAGCACAGUAAGAGCUUGCUCUUACGGGUGGCGAGUGGCGGACGGGUGAGGAAUACAUCGGAAUCUACUUUUUCGUGGGGGAUAACGUAGGGAAACUUACGCUAAUACCGCAUACGACCUACGGGUGAAAGCAGGGGAUCUUCGGACCUUGCGCGAUUGAAUGAGCCGAUGUCGGAUUAGCUAGUUGGCGGGGUAAAGGCCCACCAAGGCGACGAUCCGUAGCUGGUCUGAGAAGAUGAUCAGCCACACUGGAACUGAGACACGGUCCAGACUCCUACGGGAGGCAGCAGUGGGGAAUAUUGGACAAUGGGCGCAAGCCUGAUCCAGCCAUACCGCGUGGGUGAAGAAGGCCUUCGGGUUGUAAAGCCCUUUUGUUGGGAAAGAAAAGCAGCAGGUUAAUACCCCGCUGUUCUGACGGUACCCAAAGAAUAAGCACCGGCUAACUUCGU
RNAcentral lists this ribosomal RNA (491 nucleotides) under uncultured bacterium. RNAcentral's name for it is "partial 16S ribosomal RNA". It matches the Rfam family "Bacterial small subunit ribosomal RNA", at positions 29 to 506 of the family's 1533-position model. The record is from RNAcentral.